Molecule: long non-coding RNA, 348 nt
Organism: Apteryx rowi (Okarito brown kiwi)
Lineage: Eukaryota; Metazoa; Chordata; Aves; Apterygiformes; Apterygidae
Source: Ensembl
GCUGGGAGUGUUGCUGCCCCCGGGGCUCUGACCUGCCUGUGGGUUUUGCUCUGCAGAGCCAGGCCAUGCGGGUGGUGCGCACGGUGGGCCAGGCCUUCGAGGUGUGCCACAAGCUGAGCCUGCAGCACGCCCUGCAAAACGCUGACGGCCAGGCGGACGGUGCCAGUGACAAGUCUGUGGAGGAGCAGCCACUAGAAGUUCACCAGAUGAAGGGCUCCAAGAUCACAAACGUGGAUGAGGUUGGCAUCGACACUGAUGGGAUCUGUGUGUCGGAGAGGGGGCCUGGAGACCUACCUACUGCCAGGGCCGAGCUCGGCAUGCUGAAGCCUGGACAGGUCUCAAAAGACA